RNAcentral lists this long non-coding RNA (1398 nucleotides) under Homo sapiens (human). Its description in RNAcentral is "HSALNT0277166". The record is from RNAcentral. Lineage: Eukaryota; Metazoa; Chordata; Mammalia; Primates; Hominidae.
CCGGGGCAUGGAGAGGUUGUUUAUAGUGAGGGGAGAGGGAAAUGAGAUGAAGCUAGGGAGGCAAGCAGAGAUGAUAGAACGCAUGCUAGGGAAAAACCCACGAGGAACUGCCCUGGAUUUCCCCAGCAACUCAAGCAUUUGGGUUUCUGUGACUUUGCUGCCGCUGCUACCUCUUCCCAGAAUGCUUUUCCCACAGACUCUGCCUUGUGAAAGCCCACGCCUCUCAGAGAUCUGGCUGAAGCAUCACCUUAUCUGUGAACCCCUGCCUGAUCACCACUCCCCGGACCUUACCCUGGUAGAAUCAGGGAUUUCAUUCUGUCCCAUCAUCGCCUCUUCCCUACACAACUUAAAGGAAAUGCUUAGGUGAGCACAGACCCUGCUGGGUAGGCAAGCACCUGCCAGGUCGCUGACUGGAAACCCAGGUAAUUCUAUACUCCACAUUUUCUGGAUGAAGGUUCCUCUGGCAUGGGCUGUCAGGGAUGUCAAAUGGCUCAUUGAGAAAGCCUCUGCUCAGCAUGCCAACAGAAGACACUGCUUUUCCACAUCUACUCUGAUGUCAGGGAAGAGGUGUCCCUGGGUGCUACAGCCGUGGGCAUGAUAGAGACCAACCAGGAGAGGCAAGGCCCUAAACUAAUUAAAGAGUAGCACUAUGUGUCUCAGAGGGUGAAAGAAGAUGGAGGAACGCCUCUGAGACUCAGGAAAGGAGUAGAGCUGCUAGAUCUGAAAUGCAGACUAAAACAGCAGGAAAAAUGGAACAACGCGUGGACACUCUGGACUGCUGACCAAAUGCUGGAGAGGCUUCCUCUGCUCUCUGGUAUCCUCUUGGAUGAAGUUGGGUGAGGAUGUCUCCAAAACAAUCAAAAUUUUGUGUCCCUCCAGCCUGGCAAAAUGAGAGCAUCAAACCCAGAUGUAAGUUGAUUUUAAUAAAAGAAAGCCAUUCAAUAUUCUCGUAUAUCUGAGUUUGUUGCUUGAGAUUCACAACAAGCUACACAGGCUUAGCUGCCCUUAGGUUUUUUAAUUUGUCCCAGAAACCUUUAAAUGCAUUCCUCUUUAUUUGAUUUUUUAAGUUAACUCAAAGUGAAUUUGUUACUUGCACCCAAAAGGACCCUACCUAAAACAUAGGUUCUAUCUGUGCAGCCACAUUCAUUUCUGAAACUAUCUUCUUUUAUCUCUGGCUAGGAAUGUUUUAAAUCAUAUUGUCAGACUCAUUUUGAGGGUCCUGUUAUCCAACUUGAGGUGUUUUGCUUUUUUGAAGAGUCAGUUCCCGGGAUCAAGUUCAUAUUUCACUUCCCGUUUGACAGCUGCAUUAUCAAAGUUUAGCGCCUGGGGUUUCCUCUCUUCACCCCCUGCAGAUUCCAUGCUGACCUGUUUCUUUCAUUUCCUCAUCAUUUCCAGGCA